CAGACAUUUCCUGACGAAAGCACAGGGGGAAAUUCCAGCGGCUCUGCUCACCCUCGAAAGAACUCCAGCCAAGGCUAACCUGCAAGAUUUCUACGGCUUGCUUGCUGGUUUCAUCACCUGUACAACUGGCCACAGGAAGGGGGUCCUGGCCAACAUGAGGGUGGAGGAAGUGAACUCGGCAGAAUGUGACGUUUCCGGCCGACGGAUUAUUGGAGUAUCGCAGCAUAAGACAAAGGAGACAUUUGGUCAGGCUUUGAUUCCGCUCAAGAAGGACGAGUACAGGUGGUUCAGCCACUUCAUCCGCUGCCGUCGCAAGUUGCCCUGCGGCGAUUCCGAGACGUUCUUCGCCAACUCCAAUGGCGGCCCCUUCACCAAGCUGCUCGAGUCGUUCCAGGCCAGCUGGAAACGCUUCGGCCUUCCUGGAACACCGACCUUCACGCUCGUCCGCAGCAGUAUCAGCACCUGUAUCGGGAGAUCUCUGGAAACACACAAGAAGUCAAGAGUUCGCCGGAUGAUGUGCCACUCCAAUGCAAUGGCAGAGAAAUUCUAUGAAGCUGACUUGGACUUUCAUGAGGCGUUCGAGGCACGGGGGUACACGGCCGAUGCCAUUUGUCAGAGCUCUCGAAGGAGCGCACGACCACAGGACUCAGACGCCAACCCAUCGUCGAGCGCUGAGGAGGAGCAGUCAAGCCAAGGGGACGGCUCAGAGACGCAGGAAGAGGAAGGGGAAAUGGAGGCAGAGGAAAUGGGGAGAAUGGACCCUGAACCGAUGGUGACAAGACUACAAAAGCAGUUGCGAGAGAGAGCGGCCAAAGCUGGUUGCGAGGCAGGUGCUGGAAACCGCCGACGGCUGGCCAAACGGGGAAGCAGCGACACGGACGCUGAGCAGGCUCCAAGACGGGAGAAAAUGCAGCCAGCAAGUUUGUCUUCAAGCGACGAGGAGGAUAUGUCCCGGAGAAAGAGAAAGAGAAAGACACCGAUGAUUUUUGAAGACUCUUCUGAAAGUGACAGCUUGCCAUUGGCUCAUGAGCGGAAGGAGGCUGACGAGGAAGUCAUAUGCCUGUCCUCCUGUUCAGAGGAUGAUGAAACAACCAGAGACGAGGCAGUGGACGACGACAGAAGAGCUUUCCAAGUCCAUACCUGUUGA
Molecule: long non-coding RNA, 1147 nt
Filed under: Sparus aurata (gilthead seabream)
Lineage: Eukaryota; Metazoa; Chordata; Actinopteri; Spariformes; Sparidae
Description: lncRNA (ENSSAUG00010012427.1)
Source: RNAcentral